RNAcentral lists this ribosomal RNA (1340 nucleotides) under uncultured bacterium. RNAcentral's name for it is "bacterial SSU rRNA". It matches the Rfam family "Bacterial small subunit ribosomal RNA", at positions 28 to 1381 of the family's 1533-position model. The record is from RNAcentral.
GACGAACGCUGGCGGCGUGCUUAACACAUGCAAGUCGUACGGUGAGGCCCUUUCGGGGGUACACGAGUGGCGAACGGGUGAGUAACACGUGAGUAACCUGCCCACAACUUUGGGAUAACGCUAGGAAACUGGUGCUAAUACUGGAUAUGUGCUCCUGCUGCAUGGUGGGGGUUGGAAAGCUCCGGCGGUUGUGGAUGGACUCGCGGCCUAUCAGCUUGUUGGUGGGGUAGUGGCCUACCAAGGCGGCGACGGGUAGCCGGCCUGAGAGGGUGACCGGCCACAUUGGGACUGAGAUACGGCCCAGACUCCUACGGGAGGCAGCAGUGGGGAAUAUUGCACAAUGGGCGCAAGCCUGAUGCAGCAACGCCGCGUGCGGGAUGACGGCCUUCGGGUUGUAAACCGCUUUCAGCAGGGACGAAGCUUUUUGUGACGGUACCUGCUGAAGAAGCACCGGCUAACUACGUGCCAGCAGCCGCGGUAAUACGUAGGUGGCAAGCGUUAUCCGGAAUUAUUGGGCGUAAAGCGCGCGUAGGCGGUUUUUUAAGUCUGAUGUGAAAGCCCACGGCUCAACCGUGGAGGGUCAUUGGAAACUGGAAAACUUGAGUGCAGAAGAGGAAAGUGGAAUUCCAUGUGUAGCGGUGAAAUGCGCAGAGAUAUGGAGGAACACCAGUGGCGAAGGCGACUUUCUGGUCUGUAACUGACGCUGAUGUGCGAAAGCGUGGGGAUCAAACAGGAUUAGAUACCCUGGUAGUCCACGCCGUAAACGAUGAGUGCUAAGUGUUAGGGGGUUUCCGCCCCUUAGUGCUGCAGCUAACGCAUUAAGCACUCCGCCUGGGGAGUACGACCGCAAGGUUGAAACUCAAAGGAAUUGACGGGGACCCGCACAAGCGGUGGAGCAUGUGGUUUAAUUCGAAGCAACGCGAAGAACCUUACCAAAUCUUGACAUCCUCUGACCCCUCUAGAGAUAGAGUUUUCCCCUUCGGGGGACAGAGUAACAGGUGGUGCAUGGUUGUCGUCAGCUCGUGUCGUGAGAUGUUGGGUUAAGUCCCGCAACGAGCGCAACCCUUAAGCUUAGUUGCCAUCAUUAAGUUGGGCACUCUAAGUUGACUGCCGGUGACAAACCGGAGGAAGGUGGGGAUGACGUCAAAUCAUCAUGCCCCUUAUGAUUUGGGCUACACACGUGCUACAAUGGACAAUACAAAGGGCAGCGAAACCGCGAGGUCAAGCAAAUCCCAUAAAGUUGUUCUCAGUUCGGAUUGUAGUCUGCAACUCGACUAUAUGAAGCUGGAAUCGCUAGUAAUCGUAGAUCAGCAUGCUACGGUGAAUACGUUCCCGGGUCU